CAUUAAAUGUUUACAAACUUUUUAAAUAAAACAAAAACAAAUCAAUACUACGAUACAGCUGUAUAACACCGAAAUUGAACAUAUGUGUCCCAAAGAUAAUUAAUAUAGUUAUAUGUGUCCUUUAUGAAAGCCACACAAGGAACAUAGUAAAUAAACUAUGAACUUUUUGAACCUGCCUGUGAAAUGUUUAUAUAAAAGCUAAAUUUAUAUUUUUGUUAUGCAUUAGAAAUAUCAAAUGUGUAUAAAAUUUUCUAAUAAAUGUUUCAGUUUGUUUAGUGAUAUUUCAAUCUAGUGUUUAAAAAUAUACAUUUGAUUAGAUAUAACGAAUGUUAUAAGACUUUUAUUCAUGUGAGUUUUAUUUGGAAUUUUAAUAUAAGAAAAAUUGGAUUAAUAAAUUUGCGUUAAGAUUUAAACCAGUGUCUUCAAAAUCCAGGGGAAAUCAUUAGCGAGGCGGAUUCCUCAACCCACCAUUUUAAAAUUAUUUUUGAAUUCUAAACGUUUCCUACAACGUCAACGUACGAAGCCUAAGGAUCACCUAACCACCUUACAUUGCCAAUCUCACAAAGAAGAGCGAGCUGUUUCCAUGGAAUUUAUUUCCAAAAAAUUUAAAAUUAUCAACCAGCAUGAAUGUGAACGUCAAAGCAAUACUUCAAGCAAUAAGUCUUUGUCCGUUUGAAAGUGAUUACAAAAACUACCAAAUCCACUAGAUUCUGCAACGCAAGUUCCGUCUGACCCCAAGGCAGCAUCUGAAAAUAUAAAUGAAACAACCCUACAAGCACCUCAGCUGCCCAAUGAAAAUGUUUAUUUAAGUGUGCCACCAUACAUAAAAAUACAUGUUUCGUAAACAAUCCAAGUGGAAUUAAUUCUAUGCCGCAACAUAAUAUUUCUUCUUUUAAUCUACCGAUUAGUACAAUUGCUGCUAUAGUGUAGUAUCAAGAUUUACUUCAGGUCUUGCCACCACCAGUGGCUUUCAACAACGACUGCAGUCUCAUAGUCAAUCACAUAUACACAGCCUGCCGCCUAUAAUACACCAAGUACUACUAAUGUUAACUUACACCCCGUUCACGGUAUUCGUAAUUCUCGCUCUCAUUCAUCACUCAAGCCCCAAUUACAUACUGAAUGACAUGAUUCGCCAUACAAAAUUUCAGCUGCAAAUUACACGUAAUUUUUAUCGAGUAUUUAUCAAAAUCAGCUUUCAAAACAAAAAUGUCAAAAGAAAACAAACAAAACAUUUUUGUAUUAAAUAAAUAAAUUAAAAGUAAUAAAUAAAAAAUCUGAUUAAAGUUAAAUUUAUUUGCGGAAGUAUUUAAAACUUAAAUGGAGGAAAAAAAGAAAAUUAUAAAAUAAUUAUAAUUUCCCCAAGGUUAUUCGCUACAAUAAAGAUUGAGGAGGAGACAAUUUUAUAUUUUUACCUAUCCUUUUUAUCCAUUGCCAAAUUACAAAUUUAAAACUUGCACCAAACAAAAAAAAAAUAAAUAAACACAAAAAAUAAAGCAUGUUAACAGAAGAAAAAAAUAAACAAAUAAAUGUCAAACUGGAUUAUAAACGUGUCGUGAAAACGGGUUAAUUGGCUAUCGUCAUUCAGAGGUCGAAUUAAGUAAUUUAACCGCUCGUGUGAACUAGGUAUUAUUUAACACGUAUCAAAAUAUGCCUGCCCCUAGCAGCCAAUUUAAAUCAGCUAAAUACAACCUCUCCAAAUAAUUGUGGCUCAAAUUCUCCAUAUUAUUGUUUUUUGCUGAUUUAAACAUUAUUCCGUGCUUGACGCUUGAACGGCAGCUUUAAGCUCGUCAUUCCUUGUCUAAAGAACUACCAGCUUUCUCUGGCCAACCAGAAGAAUGGCCACUUUUAUCAUCCACGUUCGAAUGGUCCACCAAAAUCUACAUAUUUACCGAGGCCGAAAAUCUCAUCAAAUUGCAAAAGUUCCUAUGUGAAGAUGCCUUACAAAAGGUACAACAAAUGCUGUUACAUCCAUCAAAUGUUAAUUGAGUAAUGUCCAUUUUGAAACUUUUGUAUGGAUAAAAUCAACACCUCCUGUCGAUGAAAAUAACUUACCUUCAUUUACUACAUUUGCAAUUAAUUGCAACAAUGGCACUUCACUUCUUCAGGAAUUGAUAGAAAAUCUUCCCAACAACAAAAGACAAAAAACAAACUAUGUUAAUAACAGUAGUAAAAAAGCCUACAUACCCAAAAUGAAGAUCGAAAAUGUUUUGUGUGUAACAACAACAACUGCAAAGUUGUCAAAAAUUUCAUUCUCUUAAUCGUGGAGAUAAAUGGAAUGGAAUGUUGUGAGAAGACAUAAAUUAUGUACAAUUUGUUUGUGUAAACAUAACGGCGAUUGAAAGAAAAAAGUUCAAUGCGGUGUGGAUGGUUAUCAAUAUUAUCAUCAUUCUUCUUUGCAUCGUAAUUCUCAUGAAGAGACAAACAAAUCCAAUUAUAAAGACAACAACAAUGCAGCCGUUGAAAAUAUAAGCAAUACAAAUAUUUUAAAUAUCAGUGAUGUUUUUAAUACAGAAGUGAUGCAAAUAUUAUUUAAAAUAAUGCCAAUAACAGUGUAC
Molecule: RNA transcript, 2555 nt
Organism: Lucilia cuprina (Australian sheep blowfly)
Lineage: Eukaryota; Metazoa; Arthropoda; Insecta; Diptera; Calliphoridae
Exons: 3
Source: RefSeq, a predicted model, not a curated record